CGGGCUGUUUAGGGCCCCGGGCUCCAGAGCAGAAACUGGCAAACUGAGAAUGCAUGUGGGCAUACUGAAGGAAAGGAGGAGAUUCACGCUGGGUGGGGAGAGGACACAAAGGUGCAUAGUUCUCUUGUUAGUCUGCAGCACUCUUGAAUGGAAGAACAUUUCCAGACUUCUGGGUGCCUGGAGAGGGCAGGACUAAAACUAGAGAACUUAAGGGUCAGUGGGAUCCCUCUCAGCUCUACACUAUGACAAGUUGAAAAUGCAAUGAUGAUUAAUACUUAGAAUGUCAGCAAAUUCAACCCAUCACCUCUCUGAAUACAUUCAUCUUCCUACCAGA
This is a long non-coding RNA of Mustela erminea (ermine), 334 nucleotides long. RefSeq lists it as uncharacterized. The record is from RefSeq and is a predicted model, not a curated record. NCBI's taxonomy places the organism in Eukaryota, Metazoa, Chordata, Mammalia, Carnivora, Mustelidae. The transcript is spliced from 3 exons.